Molecule: ribosomal RNA, 406 nt
Filed under: uncultured bacterium
Lineage: Bacteria
Description: partial 16S ribosomal RNA
Rfam family: Bacterial small subunit ribosomal RNA
Source: RNAcentral
GACGAACGCUGGCGGCGUGCUUAACACAUGCAAGUCGAGCGGUAAGGCCCUUUCGGGGUACGACGAGCGGCGAACGGGUAGGAGUAACAACGUGGGUGGACCUCGCCCUCCAGCUCUGGGAGUAAGCCUGGGAAACCGGGUACGUAAUACCGGAUAUGACUCCAUGACGCAUGUUGUGGGGUGGAAAGACCUUGUGCGGCUGAGGAUGGGCCCGCGGCUAUCAGCUUGUUGGUGGGGUGAUGGCCUACCAAGGCGACGACGGGUAGCCGGCCUGAGAGGGCGACCGGCCACACUGGGACUGAGACACGGCCCAGACUCCUACGGGAGGCAGCAGUGGGGAAUCUUGCGCAAUGGGCGAAAGCCUGACGCAGCGACGCCGCGUGAGGGAUGACGGCCUGUGGUAACU